AGUGAACGCUGGCGGUAGGCCUAACACAUGCAAGUCGAACGGCAGCACAGUAAGAGCUUGCUCUUACGGGUGGCGAGUGGCGGACGGGUGAGGAAUACAUCGGAAUCUACUUUUUCGUGGGGGAUAACGUAGGGAAACUUACGCUAAUACCGCAUACGACCUACGGGUGAAAGCAGGGGAUCUUCGGACCUUGCGCGAUUGAAUGAGCCGAUGUCGGAUUAGCUAGUUGGCGGGGUAAAGGCCCACCAAGGCGACGAUCCGUAGCUGGUCUGAGAGGAUGAUCAGCCACACUGGAACUGAGACACGGUCCAGCCUCCUAAGGGGGGCAGCGGGGGGGAAUUUUGGACAAGGGGCGCAAGCCUGAUCCAGCCAUACCGGGGGGGUGAAGAAGGCCUUCGGGUUGUAAAGCCCUUUUGUUGGGAAAAAAAAGCAGCAGGUUAAUACCCCGCUGUUCUGACGGAACCCAAAAAAAAAGCACCGGCUAACUUCGU
Molecule: ribosomal RNA, 491 nt
Filed under: uncultured bacterium
Lineage: Bacteria
Description: partial 16S ribosomal RNA
Rfam family: Bacterial small subunit ribosomal RNA
Source: RNAcentral